RNAcentral lists this ribosomal RNA (253 nucleotides) under uncultured bacterium. Its description in RNAcentral is "partial 16S ribosomal RNA". It matches the Rfam family "Bacterial small subunit ribosomal RNA", at positions 524 to 776 of the family's 1533-position model. The record is from RNAcentral.
UACGGAGGGGGCUAGCGUUGUUCGGAAUUACUGGGCGUAAAGCGCACGUAGGCGGCUUUGUAAGUUAGAGGUGAAAGCCCGGAGCUCAACUCCGGAAUAGCCUUUAAGACUGCAUCGCUAGAACGUUGGAGAGGUGAGUGGAAUUCCGAGUGUAGAGGUGAAAUUCGUAGAUAUUCGGAAGAACACCAGUGGCGAAGGCGACUCACUGGACAUGUAUUGACGCUGAGGUGCGAAAGCGUGGGGAGCAAACAGG